UGACCUCAAAUCAGGUAGGACUACCCGCUGAACUUAAGCAUAUCAAUAAGCGGAGGAAAAGAAACUAACAAGGAUUCCCCUAGUAACUGCGAGUGAAGCGGGAAAAGCUCAAAUUUGAAAUCUGGCAGUCUUUGGCUGUCCGAG
Molecule: ribosomal RNA, 144 nt
Filed under: Lepiota cortinarius
Lineage: Eukaryota; Fungi; Basidiomycota; Agaricomycetes; Agaricales; Agaricaceae
Description: partial 28S ribosomal RNA
Rfam family: Eukaryotic large subunit ribosomal RNA
Source: RNAcentral